This 253-nucleotide ribosomal RNA is filed under the name uncultured bacterium. Its description in RNAcentral is "partial 16S ribosomal RNA". It matches the Rfam family "Bacterial small subunit ribosomal RNA", at positions 524 to 776 of the family's 1533-position model. The record is from RNAcentral.
UACGUAGGCAGCGAGCGUUGUUCGGAGUUACUGGGCGUAAAGAGUGCGUAGGCGGUGCUCCAAGUCUGGUGUGAAAUCUCCCGGCUUAACCGGGAGGGUGCGCCGGAAACUGGGGUGCUGGAGUGUGGGAGAGGUAAGCGGAAUUCCCGGUGUAGCGGUGAAAUGCGUAGAUAUCAGGAGGAACACCCGUAGCGAAGGCGGCACUCUGGGCCGAUACUGACACUGAGGAGCGAAAGCGUGGGGAGCGAACAGG